GAUUAACGCUGGCGGCGUGCCUAACACAUGCAAGUCGAGCGGCAGCGAGUUUUACACUGAAUUCUGGAAGCUUCUAGUUGAAAGAGAAGAUUUAUUCAAGAAUUUUGUGUAAAAUGUCGGCGAGCGGCGGACGGCUGAGUAACGCGUGGGCACGUACCCCAAAGUGAGGGAUAACGCAUCGAAAGGUGUGCUAAUACCGCAUAUGGUCUUCGGAUUAAAGCCUUCGGGCGCUUUGGGAACGGCCUGCGUAAGAUUAGAUAGUUGGUGGGGUAAUGGCCUACCAAGUCGACGAUCUUUAACUGGUUUGAGAGGAUGAUCAGUCAGACUGGAACUGAGACACGGUCCAGACUCCUACGGGAGGCAGCAGUGAGGAAUCUUCCACAAUGGGCGAAAGCCUGAUGGAGCAACGCCGCGUGCAGGAUGAAGGCCUUCGGGUUGUAAACUGCUUUUAUAAGUGAGGAUUAUGACAGUAACUUAUGAAUAAGGAUCGGCUAACUACGUG
Molecule: ribosomal RNA, 502 nt
Filed under: uncultured bacterium
Lineage: Bacteria
Description: partial 16S ribosomal RNA
Rfam family: Bacterial small subunit ribosomal RNA
Source: RNAcentral